AUGAACGCUGGCGGCGUGCCUAAUACAUGCAAGUCGAGCGAACAGACGAGGAGCUUGCUCCUCUGACGUUAGCGGCGGACGGGUGAGUAACACGUGGAUAACCUACCUAUAAGACUGGGAUAACUUCGGGAAACCGGAGCUAAUACCGGAUAAUAUAUUGAACCGCAUGGUUCAAUAGUGAAAGACGGUUUUGCUGUCACUUAUAGAUGGAUCCGCGCCGCAUUAGCUAGUUGGUAAGGUAACGGCUUACCAAGGAAACGAUGCGUAGCCGACCUGAGAGGGGGAUCGGCAACACUGAAACUGGAACAGGGCCCAAACUCAAAGGGAAGGAGGAGGAAGGAAACUUACGGCAAUGGGCGAAAGCUUAACGAAGAAACGCGGGGUGGGGAUGAAGGUCUUCGGAUCGUAAAACUCUGUUAUUAGGGAAGAACAAAUGUGUAAGUAACUAUGCACGUCUUGACGGUACCUAAUCAGAAAGCCACGGCUAACUACGUG
RNAcentral lists this ribosomal RNA (495 nucleotides) under uncultured bacterium. RNAcentral describes it as "partial 16S ribosomal RNA". It matches the Rfam family "Bacterial small subunit ribosomal RNA", at positions 29 to 507 of the family's 1533-position model. The record is from RNAcentral.